Non-coding RNA from Dipodomys ordii (Ord's kangaroo rat), 65 nucleotides. Lineage: Eukaryota; Metazoa; Chordata; Mammalia; Rodentia; Heteromyidae. The record is from Rfam.
GGUGGCUCAGUGGUAGAGCGCUUGCCUUGCAAGCAUGAGGCCCUGGGUUCAAUUCCUCAGCACCA